GAAAUCCCCUGUUCCUAGUCGCCAUAUACACCCUUUUGUCAACUUAUACCUUUGUUGCUUCCACUGGACAGAUGGAUACGCCCAGUUGCGCGUCCAUCCUCUGGCCUCUUCACGGAGGACGGGGAGUGCUAGUGGAAAGAAUACAAUUAAAACUUUGUCUUUAGAAAACUUGUCUGACAAUAUAUUUUUUAAUAAAAUAAAACUUUCAACAACGGAUCUCUAGGCUCUUGCAUCGAUGAAAAACGCAGUGAAAUGCGAUAAGUAAUGUGAAUUGCAGAAUCUCGUGAAUCAUUGAAUCUUUGAACGCACAUUGCGCCCUAUGGUAUUCCGUAUGGCAUGCCUGUCUGAGCGUCAGCUCGUCUUCUCAAGCUCUUUUGCUUGGAUAACAUUGGAUCAGCAAUACAAGCUCCUUUUGGGGUCUGUGUGCCUUCCAGAAAUUAAUAGGCGGUACGGUUCUAGCAAACCAGACGUAAUAAUAUUCUUAUCUAUCGUUAAUUUGAUUAAACUGUUGCUUGCCUUCUAAUCCACAUCUUUUUCAAGAUGACCUCGAUCAGGUAGGGAUACCCCGCUGAACUUAACAUAUCAAUAAGCGGAGGAAAGGU
Molecule: ribosomal RNA, 602 nt
Filed under: Physarum loratum
Lineage: Eukaryota; Evosea; Eumycetozoa; Physariida; Physaraceae
Description: eukaryotic LSU rRNA
Rfam family: 5.8S ribosomal RNA (bases 201-354)
Source: RNAcentral